GACGAACCGUCCAAACGUUAUUCGGUAUCACUGGGCUUAAAGAGUUCGUAGGCGGCCAGACAGGUCAGGUGUGAAAUCCCUCGGCUCAACCGAGGAACUGCGCUUGAAACCGUCAGGCUUGAGGGAGAUAGAGGUGAGCGGAACAGAUGGUGGAGCGGUGAAAUGCGUUGAUAUCAUCUGGAACACCGGUGGCGAAAGCGGCUCACUGGAUCUUUUCUGACGCUGAGGAACGAAAGCUAGGGUAGCGAACGGG
Molecule: ribosomal RNA, 253 nt
Filed under: uncultured bacterium
Lineage: Bacteria
Description: partial 16S ribosomal RNA
Rfam family: Bacterial small subunit ribosomal RNA
Source: RNAcentral